GUUUAUGGCCAUACCACCCUGAAGGUGCCCGAUCUUGUCUGAUCUCAGAAGCUAAGCAGGCCUGCUUAGUACUUGGAUGGGAGACCGACCGCCUGGGAAUACCGGGUUUUAUGAAUU
RNAcentral lists this ribosomal RNA (117 nucleotides) under Mus pahari (shrew mouse). The record is from RNAcentral. Lineage: Eukaryota; Metazoa; Chordata; Mammalia; Rodentia; Muridae.